This is a long non-coding RNA of Nematostella vectensis (starlet sea anemone), 2756 nucleotides long. RefSeq lists it as uncharacterized. The record is from RefSeq and is a predicted model, not a curated record. NCBI's taxonomy places the organism in Eukaryota, Metazoa, Cnidaria, Anthozoa, Actiniaria, Edwardsiidae. The transcript has 6 exons.
CGCUGACCAUUUGUUUCUCUGUCUCAGCGAAAGAGUUUACCAUGUCGGCAAUACUCUGGGUGACUGACAGAGCAUAAGACAUGGCCAGCCCAACAAGCCCUGAAAGAUGGAGGUUACCUGGAUCAACUGUGUGGAAAUGAUGUUCGAGCACAGCAAGGAAUGCCACGCCCGCGUUGAUGGCGACACCAAUGCCCUGUAGACGCAGCACCAGCCACACAUACACCACCAUCUCUAUAUAGGGCAAUUACAAAGAAUUGAUAGCCACACAUACGCCACCAUCUCUAUAUAGGCAAUUACAACGAAUUGAUAGCCACACAUACGCCACCAUCUAUAUAUAGGGCAAUCACAAGGAAUUGAUAGCCACACAUACGCCACCAUCUCUAUACAAAGCAAAAACAAAGAAUUGAUAGCCACACAUAAGCCACCAUCUCUAUAUAGGGCAAUUACAAAGAAUUGAUAGCCACACAUACGCCACCAUCUAUAUACAAAGCAAAAACAAAGAAUUGAUAGCCACACAUAAGCCACCAUCUCUAUAUAGGGCAAUCACAAGGAAUUGAUAGCCACACAUACGCCACCAUCUCUAUAUAGGGAAAUCACAAAGAAUUGAUAGCCACAAAUACGCCACCAUCUCUAUACAGAGCAAUAACAAAGAACUGAUAGCCACACAUACGCCACCGACUCUAUACAGAGCAAUAACAAACUAAUAGCCACACCUAUUUCACCAUCUCUAUACAGAGCAAUAACAAAAAUUGAUAGCCACACAACUUCUAUCAUCUCUAUGAUAGCCAAACUGAUCCCAAUUUUUUUUUAAAACAUUUACGGUGAUAGACACACAUAUCCCCCCCCCCCCCCCCAUCGGCAACCCAUCUGCUCUUCACCUACCACAGUAAUUAGCUCGUUGGUUCACCUCCAAGCGCUCUUCAUUCUCAGUGCGAAAUCUUUGGGUGUGGCGCAGAGCACGAAUGGUACUUAGCCCUGUUAGGGUCUCGGAGAAGUGCGCGUAUAUGGGAGACUCGGUGACGGUAAUAAUACGCUUUAACUCUCUACAAGCAACAGAAAGAGAGGUAAGAACAAUCAGCUACACACAAGUAGGCAAGAAAGAUGGCAUGCUUCGACAAAGAGAAAACAUGGGGUGAAAACAUGACAACACAAUACUUCAAAUACCCAGACAUGAAAAAGAACGAAAUAGGACAUGAAAAUUCAAUGUCCGUCUAAACAGAUAUAACAACUGUUGCCCUUUGGGACAACACCUCGCCCAAUGUUGCCUUUAAAAUUCCUGAAUCCUGCACGUGAUGACACGUGCCUUUCUCACAAGCAAUCCGUAGUUAGUCACCUGGAGGUCUUCCUAUAGUAACCCUGUAGAUAAUAGUAGAUGAUCAUGAGAGGCGCCACCAACAGCGCCAUCCAGGGAAGCCCAUAACACGUGAUCACCAUAGAAGCUACUACAAAGUACGCCUGGGCCAGGAAAAUGUUGAGCAUGAAGGGCAGGCUGUCAUCAAUGGAGUACUACAAACGGGAGAAAGGUUAAAGGUUAGAGGUAUUAGAUUAAGAGAAGAACAGGAAGUCGUGUUGUUUGUGAAAAUGAUAUUUAUAAAGAUGAUAGCACAACUACUGAUGAGGAAGAGAGGGAGAUGAUGAGGACAAUGCGUAGGUGACACCAUUACACUGUCAGCACAAUCCAAAGUAUUAAUACAACUGAUGAAUAAUGGUGAUAAUAUAGGGCCUUGUGCAAACCGCUCCAGCUGCUCUUGCAAAAACAAUAAGCACCAUUGGCCAGGUUUGUGAACAUGUUGGAGGAUAGUAGGGCCCUGUGCAAACCGCUCCAGCUGCUCUUGCAAAAACAAUAAGCACCAUUGGCCAGGUUUGUGAACAUGUUGGAGGAUAGUAGUUUGCAAACAUUUCCUAUGUCUUGCAGUCAGCCAAUAAGAUGGUCACAAACAUUCUUUUUAUCUUGUAGUCAUCUAAUGAAAUGGUCGCAAAUAUUUCCCUUGUCUUGUAGUCAGCCAAUGAGAUGGUCGAAAACAUCCCCUUUAUCUUGCAGUCAGCCAAUGAGAUGGUCGCAAAGAUUUCCCGUCUUGGAGUCAGCCAAUUAGAUGGUCGCAAACAUCCCCUUUAUCUUGCAGUCAGCCAAUGAGAUGGUCGCAAAGUUUUUCCGUCUUGGAGUCAGCCAAUGAGAUGGUCGCAAACAUCCCCUUUAUCUUGGAGUCAGCCAAUGAGAUGGUCGCAAACAUUCCCAGGUCCUGUGUGCACUGGGCUGGGGCUCAGCAUGCAGUAAAUCAGCAUGACCAUCAAGUCAAAAUGAGGUUGUACCACAGCAUGACCAUCAAGUCAAAAUGAGGUUGUACCACAGCAUGACCAUCAAGUCAAAAUGAGGUUGUACCACAGCAUGACCAUCAAGUCAAAAUGAGGUUGUACCACCGGAUGACCAUCAAGUCAAAAUUGGGUUUUAUCACAGGAUAAUCACCAAGUCAAAAUAUGGUUUACCACAGGCUGACCAUCAAGUUCAAGGUGUCCAUCGGUGUCGGCAAGCCCCCUGGGGACCCAUGGAAAAGAUAUUAUGCAAGCAUUGUUAUUAAAACUGCAUGUAUGCACGCCUCCUGUUGCGGUGGCUUGUAACGCCAGCUAAAGUGCCCAUCAACAAUCUGGACAGCAUCACCAGCUGAACGAAAAACGAAACAAUAUGACAGGUUUUCUAAAUCACACCUUUGCAGCUGUGAGCUGGUUUCCCAUCAGAACGUAUGUCGUGAAGGUAAGGA